This 374-nucleotide ribosomal RNA is filed under the name uncultured bacterium. RNAcentral describes it as "bacterial SSU rRNA". It matches the Rfam family "Bacterial small subunit ribosomal RNA", at positions 28 to 409 of the family's 1533-position model. The record is from RNAcentral.
GAUGAACGCUAGCGGCAGGCCUAAUACAUGCAAGUCGAACGCUCAGUAGCAAUACUGGGAGUGGCGCACGGGUGCGUAACGCGUACACAAUCUACCUCUAAGCGGGGACACCUCCUGGAACGGGGAUUAAUACCGCAUAAUAUGCCGAGGUCGCAUGACUUUGGUAUUAAAGCAGCAAUGCACUUAGAGAUGAGUGUGCGUCCCAUUAGGUAGUUGGUGAGGUAACGGCUCACCAAGCCUAUGAUGGGUAGCCGGUCUGAGAGGAUGGUCGGCCACACGGGCACUGAGACACGGGCCCGAUCCUACGGGAGGCAGCAGUAAGGAAUAUUGGUCAAAUGGUGGAAACACUGAACCAGCCAUGCCGCGUGGAGGAA